UGCUGCUCUCGACGGCGAGGCUGCUCCCGCAUGAUGGGGCACGAUCGGUGCGGCGCGAGGCGGGGAGCGAGACAAUGAGAAAGAUUCGCGGAGGUGCGGGCAUCUUCAACUCUCGGAGGCGGGUGGAUGACGAU
RNAcentral lists this non-coding RNA (134 nucleotides) under uncultured Isochrysis. The record is from RNAcentral. Lineage: Eukaryota; Haptophyta; Isochrysidales.